RNAcentral lists this long non-coding RNA (602 nucleotides) under Homo sapiens (human). RNAcentral describes it as "HSALNT0130122". Lineage: Eukaryota; Metazoa; Chordata; Mammalia; Primates; Hominidae. The record is from RNAcentral.
CUCUGGGGGAGGAGGUGCCCCUGCAGCCCACAUUAAUCAUUCUGGGGCCUCAGCCCCAGGCUGCAACAUCCUGUUCCUAAAAGCUGUGACUUCCUGAGGCUUAGGGGAGAAAAAGGGCUCAGGACUGAGGAGUGAAGAGCUCCAGGGAUUUCACUCUUCUUUGUGUGUGUGAAGGAAGGUUUAUUUGCAAGAUGGGUUUGAGGGAAUUAAGGAUAAAGUCUGCUGAAAGUAGCACCAGCCUCUGGAUUAAAAGGGAUGUUUGGAUGAAGCUUCAAUCUCAAGAAGAGGCAAGAGAAAACUAAAGAAAAAGAGACAAGAAGGUAGUUGACAAGCUGUGAACCUGCAUUGCAUUCUAGUGAUGGGACACGUGGAAGGGGAAGCUGAAGUUGAAGGGUGGAUGGUAGCAGCCACAGGGAGUGAGAUGGGCUCGUUUCUGGAGCUGUUGGGAGAGAAAAAGGGAGUCAAACGGGAAUUCACACAGGGUUGUGCAUUAUAUCCAAGUGUGUAUUCAGAUACAAGCCUUUAUCUCAAUACCUUCCUUACCCCCAUUCCGCACAUAUCUCAUACCAAAGUACAAAUAAAACCAUUCCCAAUUGUUCUAA